CAGGGGCAAAAAUGAUCUUUCAAUAGAAAUUAAUUUCCAAUAAUUACAUAUUACACAACAGAAUAUAUGGCCAAUAUCAAGGCUUCAAUUUCUUUUCUGUAUACGUAUAUAUUAUUUAUCACCAUUAAUUUUUACAACACUAGUAAAAAUAUGCAAUGUGAAAUCUCAUCAGAAUGGUAGGAGUAUCUAAAGCUGUGUGUAUAUGAGUACGAGUCCCAAGGAGUACCUAAGUAUAGAAACCAAGGUAGAGAAAUUGACAGCAGGAACAUGAAGCAUUCAAAGAAUGUUUGUCAGAUCUAGCAGCAUGCUCUUGAUCAGGCAACUAAAGCCCCGAUUAGGUACCAAGUACUACUAUCAGGACAAUUCCAUAAUGAAAAAUCAUAUCAAAUAUCCAGUUUCAGCUAUUCCGCAGUGUUGCCAUCUUCCGUCCGACUGCCCAAUUUGACAAUGUCUUCAACAAGAAUCUUCCCAUCU
RNAcentral lists this long non-coding RNA (474 nucleotides) under Manihot esculenta (cassava). RNAcentral's name for it is "long non-coding RNA (MESC_LNC000076)". Lineage: Eukaryota; Viridiplantae; Streptophyta; Magnoliopsida; Malpighiales; Euphorbiaceae. The record is from RNAcentral.